This 400-nucleotide ribosomal RNA is filed under the name Pedobacter sp. Z4_31_3. RNAcentral's name for it is "bacterial SSU rRNA". It matches the Rfam family "Bacterial small subunit ribosomal RNA", at positions 131 to 529 of the family's 1533-position model. The record is from RNAcentral. Lineage: Bacteria; Pseudomonadati; Bacteroidota; Sphingobacteriia; Sphingobacteriales; Sphingobacteriaceae.
UCAAUCAGGGGGAUAGCCCGAAGAAAUUCGGAUUAACACCGCAUAAAAACACAGUACAGCAUUGUACAAUGUUCAAAUAUUUAUAGGAUUGAGAUGGGCAUGCGUGUCAUUAGCUAGUUGGCGGGGUAACGGCCCACCAAGGCGACGAUGACUAGGGGAUCUGAGAGGAUGACCCCCCACACUGGUACUGAGACACGGACCAGACUCCUACGGGAGGCAGCAGUAAGGAAUAUUGGUCAAUGGAGGGAACUCUGAACCAGCCAUGCCGCGUGCAGGAAGACAGCCCUCUGGGUCGUAAACUGCUUUUAUUCGGGAAUAAACCUACUUACGUGUAAGUAGCUGAAUGUACCGAAGGAAUAAGGAUCGGCUAACUCCGUGCCAGCAGCCGCGGUAAUACGGA